GAUGAACGCUGGCGGCGUGCCUAAUACAUGCAAGUCGAGCGAACGGACGAGAAGCUUGCGUCUCUGAUGUUAGCGGCGGACGGGUGAGUAACACGUGGAUAACCUACCUAUCAGACUGGGAUAUCUUCGGGAAACCGGCGCUAAUACCGGAGAAUAUUUUGAACCGCAUGGUUCAAAAGUGAAAGUCGGUCUUGCUGUCACUUAUAGAUGGAUCCGCGCUGCAUUAGCUAGUUGGUAAGGUAACGGCUUACCAAGGCAACGAUGCAUAGCCGACCUGAGAGAGUGAUCGGCCACCCUGGAGCUGGGACACGGUCCAGACUCCUACGGGAGGCAGCAGUAGGGAAUCUUACGCAAUGGGCGAAAGCCUGACGGAGCAACGCCGCGUGAGUGAUGAAGGUCUUCGGAUCGUGAAACUCUGUUAUGAGGGAAGAACAUAUGUGUAAGUAACUGUGCACAUCUUGACGGUAACUAAUCAGAAAGCCACGGCUAACUACGUG
This 497-nucleotide ribosomal RNA is filed under the name uncultured bacterium. RNAcentral describes it as "partial 16S ribosomal RNA". It matches the Rfam family "Bacterial small subunit ribosomal RNA", at positions 28 to 507 of the family's 1533-position model. The record is from RNAcentral.